RNAcentral lists this ribosomal RNA (460 nucleotides) under uncultured bacterium. RNAcentral describes it as "bacterial SSU rRNA". It matches the Rfam family "Bacterial small subunit ribosomal RNA", at positions 29 to 507 of the family's 1533-position model. The record is from RNAcentral.
AAUGAACGUUGGCGGCGUGGAUUAGGCAUGCAAGUCGAGCGCUCAUAGCAAUAUGGGAGCGGCGAACGGCGUAGUAAUAUGUAGGAACGUACCCUAGGGUCGGGGAUAGCCAUGGGAAACUGUGGGUAAUACCCGAUAAUCUCUGCGGAGCAAAGGUGUGAUUCCGCCUGAGGAGCGGCCUACACGAUAUUAGCUAGUUGGUAGGGUAAUGGCCUACCAAGGCUACGAUGUCUAGGGGGUGUGAGAGCAUGGCCCCCACGACCGGAACUGAGAUACUGUCCGGACACCUACGGGUGGCUGCAGUCGAGAAUCUUCCGCAAUGGACGAAAGUCUGACGGAGCGACGCCGCGUGCGGGAUGAAGGCCCUUGGGUUGUAAACCGCUGUCAGAGGGGAUGAAAUCUUCGGAGGUGCUCCUCCAAAGUUGACAGAGCCUCAAAGGAAGCACGGGCUAAGUACGUG